UAUCUUGUAGACUAAUCGGGUAAGUCGAGAAUUUUUGAUGUUCUAUAAUGUAGGUUCGAAUCCUACCAAGAUAA
RNAcentral lists this transfer RNA (74 nucleotides) under Chrysoporthe austroafricana. RNAcentral describes it as "tRNA-Gln". It matches the Rfam family "tRNA". Rfam says of the family: Transfer RNA (tRNA) molecules are approximately 80 nucleotides in length. Their secondary structure includes four short double-helical elements and three loops (D, anti-codon, and T loops). Further hydrogen bonds mediate the characteristic L-shaped molecular structure. tRNAs have two regions of fundamental functional importance: the anti-codon, which is responsible for specific mRNA codon recognition, and the 3' end, to which the tRNAs corresponding amino acid is attached (by aminoacyl-tRNA synthetases). tRNAs cope with the degeneracy of the genetic code in two manners: having more than one tRNA (with a specific anti-codon) for a particular amino acid; and 'wobble' base-pairing, i.e. permitting non-standard base-pairing at the 3rd anti-codon position. Lineage: Eukaryota; Fungi; Ascomycota; Sordariomycetes; Diaporthales; Cryphonectriaceae. RNAcentral also lists the same sequence under 1 other name. The record is from RNAcentral.